This is a non-coding RNA of Salmo salar (Atlantic salmon), 54 nucleotides long. The record is from Rfam. Lineage: Eukaryota; Metazoa; Chordata; Actinopteri; Salmoniformes; Salmonidae.
UGCAUUCACUACUGUAAGUCGCUCUGGAUAAGAGCGUCUGCUGGAUAUCAGAGU